ACCAAGGAUGGUAUUUUUUAUAGUAUUAUUUUAGUCACAAAAAAAGCAGGUUGUUCCAUGGUAAAAUAUAGAUUGCCUGAUUAAUUGCCAUGUGCGUGUCAUUGGUUGUUUCGAUCUGACCAGAUGUAGCGAAAAUGGUAAAACUUAUGAGAAGGACCGAUCGCCAUCAUUUGAUAGAUAGGAGGAGCAAUAUCGUACGCGAAAGAGAAGCACAACUUUGGCCUAAAAGUUAUUUCACUUUAGCUGUUAUGGUGGUAGGUUGCUUAGCGCCCACUGUACAGCCUUAUGAUUUGAGAAAAGGUUUUGUUUUGUUUGGCAACUUUUUCGACAAGGGGCCAAGUUGUCUCCAAUCAUGUUUCCCAGUAAACCGAGGAAGGACGAUUCAUUCCUCGCCGGACGAUGAAUCAAGCAGAUUCUGCAGGGUGGAUGUUACGUCCUGCCAAUGCGUUGGCAAGGAAUGCCCAUGAUGCUGGUUUGCCCCCAACCGACACCAACAGCUGUCAAAGCUACCCCAACCACUACAGCCCCCGCCGCUACAACCCCCUCCACACCUUCUACAACUCAGACGACACCGAAACCCGCAGCCUUGCCCUUUCAAUUCUACCAGUGGAAUCCUCUGUUGAUGCCUCCCUUCAACAAUAAUCCCAAUGGGCAACCAGUAGUCUAUCCUCCACCUUAUAGGAACCCCUAGCAGAUCAGCCUACUACACUGUUGCAUACAGCGGUGCCUGUGAGAAGACACGCCCAUGACUACAACGCCCCUUACAGCAAUGCCUGCACCAGCUAUGAAGUAUUGUCCAAUGUAAGAGUUUCAGGAGUAUCCCCAAUAUUAUGCAUCUCAGGGCUAUACCCCUAUAUUCCAAUUCCAUACUUUCAUCAACAGAAUGGUCCAUCUGCCCUUCAGGUUAUCCUUUCCUGCUUUUCCAGGCUAAUGCUUUUAAAUGAGUCGAUCAAUAAAAUGAAUGCAAGCACUCAAA
Molecule: long non-coding RNA, 976 nt
Organism: Gadus morhua (Atlantic cod)
Lineage: Eukaryota; Metazoa; Chordata; Actinopteri; Gadiformes; Gadidae
Exons: 2
Source: RefSeq, a predicted model, not a curated record